UUUGCGGGGGAUCGUACUGGUGCCUGGCCGGGAGGCUCAUCAAAACAGCUUCUUAUGUCAGGCCAAAAGGGAAUGCGAUAGGGCUCACCCCCGAAGCGCAGCCGCCCCCGCGACCGUGACCGGAGAGGGAUGCGAUGCCACUGGCGCAAGCUGGGAAGGCUGCACCCCGGAGGGUUUGCCCAAACCCCUAUCCGCAAGCCGGGAGACCUGCCAGCACGGAUGUUUCACG
Molecule: non-coding RNA, 229 nt
Filed under: Acidocella sp.
Lineage: Bacteria; Pseudomonadati; Pseudomonadota; Alphaproteobacteria; Acetobacterales; Acidocellaceae
Also listed under: 1 other name
Source: RNAcentral